This 312-nucleotide ribosomal RNA is filed under the name Triticum aestivum (bread wheat). Its description in RNAcentral is "partial small subunit ribosomal RNA". The record is from RNAcentral. Lineage: Eukaryota; Viridiplantae; Streptophyta; Magnoliopsida; Poales; Poaceae.
AUGCCAUGUUGCUCCCCCGCGCCUCCUCCCGGUCCUCCAGGAAGAAGAGGAUGCAUACGAAGUAAGGCUUUGGCUUUCCUCUCCUCCAAGUUCUUCCAGCAUGAGGUACACAAAGAUGAUGAGGUCAGAGCCUUGUUUAAGCAAGUGCAAGGAGAAGUCCCUGGAUUGCCUAUAAUCAUUAUGAAGGUGGCAUCUCAGGAACCUUCUAUUGAGUUGUUUUACUGGCUUAAUUUGGCCGCUCUUGAGCAUCCAGCAGCUCUGUAUCCGAAGACUGUCACCAUUUGUAAAUACUACGUACUUGUUGCUAUGUAA